AAUAAACUAAAACUUUCAACAACGGAUCUCUUGGUUCUGGCAUCGAUGAAGAACGCAGCGAAAUGCGAUAAGUAAUGUGAAUUGCAGAAUUCAGUGAAUCAUCGAAUCUUUGAACGCACAUUGCGCCCCUUGGUAUUCCGAGGGGCAUGCCUGUUCGA
Molecule: ribosomal RNA, 158 nt
Filed under: Neofusicoccum parvum
Lineage: Eukaryota; Fungi; Ascomycota; Dothideomycetes; Botryosphaeriales; Botryosphaeriaceae
Description: 5.8S ribosomal RNA
Rfam family: 5.8S ribosomal RNA
About the family: 5.8S ribosomal RNA (5.8S rRNA) is a component of the large subunit of the eukaryotic ribosome. It is transcribed by RNA polymerase I as part of the 45S precursor that also contains 18S and 28S rRNA.
Source: RNAcentral